RNAcentral lists this ribosomal RNA (301 nucleotides) under uncultured bacterium. Its description in RNAcentral is "partial 16S ribosomal RNA". It matches the Rfam family "Bacterial small subunit ribosomal RNA", at positions 509 to 807 of the family's 1533-position model. The record is from RNAcentral.
CAGCCGCCGCGGUAAUACGGAGGGUGCAAGCGUUAAUCGGAAUUACUGGGCGUAAAGCGCACGCAGGCGGUUUGUUAAGUCAGAUGUGAAAUCCCCGAGCUUAACUUGGGAACUGCAUUUGAAACUGGCAAUCUAGAGUCUUGUAGAGGGGGGUAGAAUUCCAGGUGUAGCGGUGAAAUGCGUAGAUAUCUGGAGGAAUACCAGUGCCGAAGGCGGCCCCCUGGACAAAGACUGACGCUCAGGUGCGAAAGCGUGGGGAGCAAACGGGAUUAGAUACCCCUGUAGUCCCUGUCUCUUAUAC